GUUUGAUGGUAUUCUUGGACUUGGAUUUCAAGAGAUAUCUGUAGGGAAAGCUGUCCCUGUCUGGUAUAAUAUGGUAAAUCAAGGUCUUGUUAAACAAUCUGUCUUCUCAUUCUGGUUCAAUCGGAAUGCUGAAGAGGAAGAAGGAGGUGAACUUGUUUUCGGUGGAGUUGAUCCCAAUCAUUUCAAGGGUGAACAUACAUAUGUUCCUGUAACUCACAAAGGCUACUGGCAGUUUGAUAUGGGUGAUGUGCUUGUCGGUGGUGAAACAACUGGAUUUUGUUCUGGUGGUUGUUCAGCAAUUGCAGACUCUGGAACGUCCUUAUUGGCAGGACCAACGACCAUUAUUACUCAAAUAAAUCAUGCAAUUGGAGCGUCAGGAGUUGUCAGCCAGGAGUGCAAGUCAGUAGUCAGUGAAUAUGGAAAAACUAUACUGGAUCUACUCGAAUCAAAGGCAGCGCCUCAACAGAUCUGCUCCCAAAUCGGUUUAUGCUCUAGGGAUGGUGGAAAAGAUGUUAGCAUGAUUAUUGAGAGUGUGGUGGACAAACACAAUGAGGCUUCGAAUGGUGUGCAUGACGAGAUGUGCAGGGUUUGUGAGAUGGCUGUGGUAUGGAUGCAAAACCAAUUAAGGCGAAAUGAAACUGCAGAUAGAAUCUUUGACUAUAUGAAUAAGCUUUGCGACCGAAUUCCCAGUCCAAUGGGAGAAUCUGCAGUUGACUGCAACAGCCUUGCUUCCAUGCCUAAUGUUUCCUUUACCGUUGGUGAUAAAACAUUUGAGCUGACGCCGCAGCAGUAUGUCCUUAAAGUUGGCGAGGCUCCUGUUGCACAGUGCAUAAGUGGAUUCACAGCAUUAGAUGUGCCGCCUCCUCGUGGACCCCUUUGGAUCUUGGGAGAUGUUUUCA
This 899-nucleotide unclassified non-coding RNA is filed under the name Hevea brasiliensis (rubber tree). The record is from RNAcentral. Lineage: Eukaryota; Viridiplantae; Streptophyta; Magnoliopsida; Malpighiales; Euphorbiaceae.